This 405-nucleotide ribosomal RNA is filed under the name uncultured bacterium. Its description in RNAcentral is "bacterial SSU rRNA". It matches the Rfam family "Bacterial small subunit ribosomal RNA", at positions 30 to 417 of the family's 1533-position model. The record is from RNAcentral.
AGUGAACGCUGGCGGCAGGCCUAACACAUGCAAGUCGAGCGGCAGCGGGUCCCCGCGAGGGGGAUGCCGGCGAGCGGCGGACGGGUGAGGAACACAUCGGAAUCUGCCUGGUUGUGGGGGAUAACGUAGGGAAACUUACGCUAAUACCGCAUGAGACCCUGAGUCGACGGACUGGGGGUGAAAGUGAGGGACCUUCGGGCCUCACGCGACCAGAUGAGCCGAUGUCGGAUUAGCUAGUUGGCGGGGUAACGGCCCGCCAAGGCGACGAUCCGUAGCUGGUCUGAGAGGAUGAUCAGCCACACUGGGACUGAGACACGGCCCAGACUCCUACGGGAGGCAGCAGUGGGAAUCUUGGACAAUGGGCGCAAGCCUGAUCCAGCCAUGCCGCGUGGGUGAAGAAGGCCU